Long non-coding RNA from Gossypium arboreum, 1310 nucleotides. RefSeq lists it as uncharacterized. The record is from RefSeq and is a predicted model, not a curated record. The transcript has 2 exons. Lineage: Eukaryota; Viridiplantae; Streptophyta; Magnoliopsida; Malvales; Malvaceae.
UAUAUACCAUAUGUAUCACAAUUCACAAGCAUGGUCGCAAUCAAAAAAAGAAAAAAUGUAUUACAUGGCUUUAACACUGAGACCGUAGUUUAAUCUGUGUCAGGGAGAGUGAGUGAUGGAUUCCAUAACAAUUUUCUUCCUAUGUUUGCUGUUGACUUGGUUCCUGUUUCAAGCUUUGAACUCAAUUAGAAAUGAACGUAAAUCAAGUAAAAGCAAGCUCCCACCUGGUCCAUGGCUGAAGCCAAUCUUCGGCAAUCUUUUUGAUCUUGGGGAUAAACCCCACAGAUCCUUGGCUACGCUUGCUCAGAUUCAUGGUCCUGUUAUGAGUCUUGAACUCGGCAGCUUAAUCACCAUCGUCGUUUCUUCGGAAACAAUGGCCAAAGAAAUCCCGCAAAAACAGGAUCUCUUAUUUUCUAACCGAACCAUUGUGGAUGCUGUCUGAGCCAGCCAACAUCAUGAAUAUGGACUGCCAUGGAUACCCGUGUCGCCACUUUGGAGAACUCUUCGCAAAGUCUGUAAUAUCCAUCUUUUCACUAGUAUGAAACUCGAUGCCAAUGAAUACCUGCGUCGGCACAAGAUUCAGGAACUGAUUGCUAAAGUUGGCGAAAAUUGUCUUAAAGGUGAAGCCAUCAACAUAGGCCAAGAUGCUUUUGAUACUACCAUUAAUUUGCUGUCCAACACUAUUUUUUCAGUGGAUUUGGUUGACCCAAAUUCAUCAAAUGCUCAAGAAUUCAAGAAAAUAGUUUGUGAUGCCAUGGUGGAGGCAGGGAGGCCUAAUUUGGCUGAUUAUUUCCUUUGCUUCGAAAGUUUGAUCCACAAGGUGUACGGCGUCGGAUGAUUGUUCAUUCCGACAAGUUGCUUAACCUUUUCGGCAGUAUGAUCGAUGAAAGAUUGCAAUCAAGAAAAUCUCGGGAUUUAACUACAUCAAAUGAUGUCUUGGAUAUUCUUCUUGAUAUUAUUGAAGGCGAAGAGCUUAAUAAAACUCAUAUCCAACAUUUGCUUUUGGGAUUUUACACUAAUUCCAUUCGGAGCUGGACGUCGGAUAUGCCCUGGAUUGCCUCUGGCAAACCGAAUGCUGCAUUUGAUGUUAGGAUCACUUAUAAACUGUUUUGAUUGGAAGCUUGAAGCUAAAAUUUCCCCAAAUGAGAUGAAUAUGGAAGAGAAGUAUGGGAUUGCAGUUCACAUGGCAACACCUUUGCGUGCAAUCCCUCUUCUUGUUUAAGAAUACUGUUUAAAAAUCAAAGUGUAAACACUCUUCGUUUGUAAUGUAUGUAUUGAUUUUAGGACAAUAUUGUUAAUUUUUAUACAAA